GAUGAACGCUGGCGGCGUGCCUAACACAUGCAAGCCGAGCGAUUCUCUUCGGAGAAGAGCGGCGGACGGGUGAGUAACGCGUGGGUAACCUGCCCUGUACACACGGAUAACAUACCGAAAGGUAUGCUAAUACGAGAUAAUAUGCUUUUAUCGCAUGGUAGAAGUAUCAAAGCUCCGGCGGUACAAGAUGGACCCGCGUCUGAUUAGCUAGUUGGUAAGGUAACGGCUUACCAAGGCGACGAUCAGUAGCCGACCUGAGAGGGUGAUCGGCCACAUUGGAACUGAGACACGGUCCAAACUCCUACGGGAGGCAGCAGUGGGGAAUAUUGCACAAUGGGCGAAAGCCUGAUGCAGCAACGCCGCGUGAGCGAUGAAGGCCUUCGGGUCGUAAAGCUCUGUCCUCAAGGAAGAUAAUGACGGUACUUGAGGAGGAAGCCCCGGCUAACUACGUGCCAGCCGCCGCGGUAA
This 468-nucleotide ribosomal RNA is filed under the name uncultured bacterium. RNAcentral's name for it is "partial 16S ribosomal RNA". It matches the Rfam family "Bacterial small subunit ribosomal RNA", at positions 28 to 523 of the family's 1533-position model. The record is from RNAcentral.